UACAGAGGUCUCAAGCGUUGUUCGGAUUCAUUGGGCGUAAAGGGUGCGUAGGCGGCGCGGUAAGUCGGGUGUGAAAUCUCGGAGCUUAACUCCGAAACUGCAUUCGAUACUGCCGUGCUUGAGGACUGGAGAGGAGACUGGAAUUUACGGUGUAGCGGUGAAAUGCGUAGAUAUCGGGAGGAACACCAGUAGCGAAGGCGGCCUUCUGGACUGACACUGACGCUGAGGCGCGAAAGCGUGGGGAGCGAACAGG
Molecule: ribosomal RNA, 253 nt
Filed under: uncultured bacterium
Lineage: Bacteria
Description: partial 16S ribosomal RNA
Rfam family: Bacterial small subunit ribosomal RNA
Source: RNAcentral